RNAcentral lists this long non-coding RNA (4371 nucleotides) under Lynx pardinus (Iberian lynx). Lineage: Eukaryota; Metazoa; Chordata; Mammalia; Carnivora; Felidae. The record is from RNAcentral.
GCGCCACCCUGGAAAACGGUGUGGCAGGUUCUCACAAAGGGAGACGGUCCUGUCCCAGGCAGUCGCGCACCUCGGCACUGACGCAAGAGAAAUGAACCCGCGAACCCGCACGCGGAUGUUCAGAGGGCUCUAUUCACAACAACUAAAAAGCGGAGACAAGCAAAUGUCUUCAGUGGGUAAGUGGACGGGUGGGGUCCCUCCGUGCCGGGAGCGAAUGAGAAGCCCAAACCAUCCGCUCGGGUAAAGAGCUUAGACAAAUCCCAGAUGCGUUGGCUGAGCGAGAGAAGCCUCUCCGGAAGGCCACGGACCUGACAGAGUAGGCACGUCCCCGGGGACAGAAGCUGCUCUGGUGGCAGGAACAGGGGUGGCGGGGCGGCGGAGGGCAGAGGGGCACGCGGACACUUUUGGAGCCCGGACCCUGGUGGCCAUGUGCCUGCAUCUGUCAAAACCCGCAGAUCUGUCCCCAGAAAGUGAGCCCUACCGUACGUAAAUCAUACCUUGUUUAAAACACACACGCACAGGCUCCAAGAUCUUCCUCAAAAACACACCCCUUGGGUUGGGGGACAGGAAGGCCAAAGGAGUGCCAAGUCCCCAAGUCCCCACGCCCCAAGUCCAGAGCUCCAAGUCCCCACGUCCCCAAGUCCCCAGGCCCCAAGUCCCCAGGCCCCAACUCCAGAGCUCCAAGUCCCCAGGCCCCCAAGUCCCCACACCCCAAGUCCCCAUGCCCCAAGUCCCCAAGUCCCCAGGCCCCAAAUCCCCAUACCCCAAGUCCCCAGGCCCCAAGUCCCCAAGCCCCCAAGUCCCCAGGCCCCAAGUCCCCAGGCACCAAGUCCAGAGCUCCAAGGAAAGGGUGGGGGCAGGACAGACGUGACCUCCAGCCACAGGACUGCUAUGCCAGGGUGGUGCGUCAGUCCUUCCUCCAGCCAGCGAGGACCGAGGGACAGACCCCCCUGAGGAGCCUCGGCGGUGUGAGGCAGCGCCCCAACCCACAGAAGACACACCUGCCACCGGCGUGCCCCUGACCGGGGUCUUGAGUGCCAUUCGGCCACCCGCUGGCCCCCCUGCUCCUCGCCCCCCGGGACGUGCUCUCCACACCGUGGCCGGAGCGAACCCUGAGGGGCACAGAUCUGGCGCAUCCCUGCUUACGACCCUCCCGAGUCGUCCGUCCCCGAGUCGUCCGCCGGGGCACCUGGGAUGAAACCCAGCCUCCGGCGGCAUCGGCCCCCUGGCCCUGCGGCCCUUCCGGCACCCGGGGGAGCCUGCUGCUCCCGGGGCGGCUUCCGGCCUCUGCCUCCUCCAAGCAGCCCUCGUCGCACCCCACCGUGCACCCCACCCCUGGUCUGUUUCCUCCGGGCUUUGAGCUUAACAUUUUCCUCCGUGUUUAUUUACUCUCCUCCUGCUGCACAUGCUAUAAACUCGGUGACAGCGGGAGCUCUUGGUGGCCCGUUGGCUUCUGAGGCCCCACAGGGGGUUCUCUGUUCACAGUUGCGGAUGAACGAGGGAGGAAAGUCACGUCGGCCAGCGGGGGGCGCUACACCGUGGCCUCCGGAGACACCGCAGCACUCGCGGCCGGGGCACGGGCUGUGUGGGUGGCCUCAGCCUGCCUUGUCCGUGGCCGCAGCAGGCCCUCGAGGCCGCAGCCUCGUCCCCCAAGCCCCCCAGAGUCCACGCAGGGGGCAGCUGCCGGGCCUCCCCCGUCCUGCCCGCCCAGCGCCCUGGAGGGCAGUGCUCCACAGCCACACACAGCAGGCUCUGUGCGUGGGGAGAUGGGGGGCAUGCUGCCGGCUGGCCCCACAGUUAGGAGAGGGGGCGCUCGGGCGGGGCGUCCUGCCCGCCGGGAGCGUGGUAGUCCUGGGACUGGAAACCCGCUUCAAACCGCAGGCGGGCUCGGCGGCAGUGAAUGACAAACACAGAGCGGGGGAUGGUGCCCAGAACAGGGAGGACCGAGGACCAACCGGCCGCGUCGCUGAUGAGCCUCGAGCGCGUCGUGCGGAGACACAGAGACCCGAGCCACCCCGUUCUGCGGACCCACAGAAAGGCCAUCGGUGGCUGCCGGGGCUGGGGGUCCCGAGUGACUGGUCAACGGGUCUGGGUCUCCCCCAGCUGGGGCUGCCCGGCCCCCGCGCACGCUUAUGGCUGAGCUGUGGGGUCGCGAAGUAAACCCCACACUGUCAGAAGCGACACAUGCUGCCGGAGGCCAUCCUGGCCUUCACGGACGACACAGGUUAUGACACAGACAGAGCCACAGACUUAAUUCCGGGAAAAAGAAAAUGCACACGUGAAGCCCGCCUCUUGCCCCACCCCUACUCCAGCCGGGGUCAGGAGGGCCCGGGCACAGACAGCCCACCGGAGGCGGGGCAUGCACAGACAAGGCCCAAGGCACUGAAGGGUGGCCUCCCUGGAGGCAGGGGUGCAUCCGGCUAUGGCUUCUGCAGCCCCCUCUCCCCUCACCUGCAGAGACACCCUGGCCCCAGGGCUGGGGCGGGGGGGGGGGGGGGGGCUCUUUCUUGACGAUGGGUGGGCACUGAGCAGGUGGCAUCGCCCUCUCAGCCCCCCGGGGGAGACCAGGGGCACAGAGGAGCGGGGCCCCAGCCCCAGUGUUGCGGGGGUGGGUGCCAUCCAGGAAGGGCCAGUCUGCCCUCCAGGGCUGCCCCAGACAAGCUGAGCCCCUAUGCCCUGCCCACUCUGCCAGGGCUGGUCCAGCUCCAGAUGUGAAAAGAUGCAGGGAAGGCGAGCUCUCCGAAACCCGGACCACACCCUGGCCUUUCCUCCGUGUGCCUCCUGGGGCCAAGUCAGACAGAGAUGCCCUGCGGGCUGAGGAGGAGGCCCCACUGUGGGUCAAGGAAGGCUCUGGCCAUGAAGAGGCCACCUCCUCCCCUCUCAAAAGGAAGCAGGGACUUCCAGCAGCUCCUGGUGAGAGGUAGGGAGGGGUGAGGGCGGGGGAGCCCCUCCCCUGCAGGCUGUGUGGAGGGGUGGGCCCUGGGCCACGCCCAGCUGCAGCACAACCACCCAGGAGGCAGGAACCGGGGCUCCCCCGAGCACCCUUCACCUGCUCCUGCCCUUGUGCCAAGCUCGAGCCAACAGCCACUGAGGACAGAAUUGGUGGGCGAGGGGCCGUCUGGCUUCCCUGCCUCGGCCCCUCCCAGCGUCAUGCUGUGAAGGCCAAGGGGACGGGUGUGGGGGUUGCCACCUCGCCCAGCAGCGCCUUUGCCCCCACCCUGGGGUCUGAGCCUUGUGGGGAGGAGCCCUGGGACUCAGGGGCUGGUUGGAGCCGGUACCCCCAGCGUGGCUCAGACCCAACACUUCCCUUGGAGGUUCUUGUUCUGUCCAUCUCCGCUCACCAGAGCUGUUCCAGACCCCACGGGCUCGGUUCUCCAGCUUCCUGACGAUCCAGGAGCCCCAGGAUCCUUCCAGUCACUUCUCACUGGUUUCGGUGGCUCAGGGCCGCUGACCGUCUCCCCCAGGCCCAGCCGUCAGGUUCGUGGCACUGCUCUCUGCCCCCAGACCUCUGCCCUCGGGGGAGAAGCAGUCUCCGGGUCUCCGUGCCUCCACCCUGCUGACCACAGAGGGAGCCCGAACUGUGCUGACGAUGUCAAGGGCCCCCUGGCCCCCUGCCUAGUCAGCCUCCACCCCAGGGAGCCCCUGCAGGAGCUGGGAGGGCGGAGGCCAGAUCCUCCCUAUGGUCACCGGGGGCCUCGCCUACACAGUUCACCUCGACCUUCUAGAACCGGUCCUCCCCUCCACCCUUUGACCUGGGUGGGUCAGCUCUGCUGCUCCCAGCUCUAGGUUCCUGCACGGGCUCUCAGGGUCCCCUGCACCCCACCCACGUGCGCAUAGUUUCUGUGUAAACACACGACCCACUUUCUCCUCAUCUGUGGGUGCCCUCUGUGUCCCUCCAGGAAAUGGGUCGGGGCUGGGCAUCUCUGCCUGGGGCUUCAGGAGGGGCCCCUGCCCCCACCCUCACCUGGAAUCCAAACCAGGCAGCUGCCUCCAAUGUCCUGUCCCUCAGGUACCUUCAGCACCCCGAUCACAGGCUGCAGGCCGCCGUGACCCUGCCCCAGCUUCAGUGUGCAGGGCGGUCAGGACGUGGGCUCUGCGGGCCUGGGUCGUCCCAGCCCCCACUGUUCAGCAGCCAGGCCCCCGUGCCUCCUCCUCUUGCCAAACCUGGUGACGCGUCAGGCACCUGGUGGCAGGCCCCGGAGCUCGCACCCGUGAGAGCGCCUGUGGGGCCAGGUGGCGACCUCAACCACCAGGUUGCCUCAAGCCAGACUCUGGCCCACUGGCAGCUGCCCACCCGGGGUCUGGAGAUCCUCCCACGGGCCGGGCCUCCGGUUUUGCUGGGGCAGUCACACUAAGUAUGGGAAUGAGAAG